This 269-nucleotide unclassified non-coding RNA is filed under the name Hevea brasiliensis (rubber tree). Lineage: Eukaryota; Viridiplantae; Streptophyta; Magnoliopsida; Malpighiales; Euphorbiaceae. The record is from RNAcentral.
CACACAAACCCUGGUAGACAUUGGCCCCUCCUUUACGAGCAGCGACAAGGUAAAGAAAUCUCGAAACCUUUCGCUCGCCUCCGCCUGAAACGAGGAUGGUCAAGUUCUUGAAACCCAUUUAGGCGGUUAUCCUCCUCCAGGGUCGCUCCGCCCGCCGGAAGGCGGUGAUUUUCCGAUUCUUCGAUGACGGGACCCGUGAUCGCCCAUACGGCCACUGCCUGGUCGCUGGAAUAUCGAAGUACCCAUCGAAGGUGAUCAAUAAAGACUCA